This 462-nucleotide ribosomal RNA is filed under the name uncultured bacterium. RNAcentral describes it as "bacterial LSU rRNA". It matches the Rfam family "Bacterial large subunit ribosomal RNA", at positions 1366 to 1807 of the family's 2925-position model. The record is from RNAcentral.
UCGUCAUCGUAGGGUUAGUCGGGUCCUAAGCCGAGUCCGAAAGGGGUAGGCGAUGGCAAAUAGGUUAAUAUUCCUAUACCAACAUUAGUGUGCGAUGGAAGGACGCUUAGGGCUAAGCAAGCUAGCGGAUGGAAGUGCUAGUCUAAGGUCGUAGGAGGUUAUAUAGGCAAAUCCGUAUAACAAUACUCCGAGAACUGAAAGGCUCUUCAAAGUCUUCGGACAGCGAGGAGAAUUGCUGAUGCCGUCGAGCCAAGAAAAGUUUCUAAGUUUAGCUAAUGUUGCCCGUACCGUAAACCGACACAGGUGGGUGGGAUGAGUAUUCUAAGGCGCGUGGAAGAACUCUCUUUAAGGAACUCUGCAAAAUAGCACCGUAUCUUCGGUAUAAGGUGUGGUUCGCUUCGUAUUAGGAUUCACUCCGAAAGCGAAGAAACUUACAACAAAGAGUCCCUCCCGACUGUUUAC